Long non-coding RNA from Oncorhynchus masou masou (cherry salmon), 702 nucleotides. RefSeq lists it as uncharacterized. NCBI's taxonomy places the organism in Eukaryota, Metazoa, Chordata, Actinopteri, Salmoniformes, Salmonidae. The record is from RefSeq and is a predicted model, not a curated record. The transcript is spliced from 2 exons.
AGUCUUGCGUGGUCAUCCUCCUGAAUCUUAUAUUCAACGAUUGGAAGUCUUCAGAUUUGCUCUGAGUAGUCGUAUGAAGGUUUAGUAGCCUAUGCAGCUUCCUUCACUGUUGUUUACCCUUGACCCCUCCACAGGAAGGAUGGUUUCUUGACCUUUCAGACCAGCAAGUAUAAACUGCACUACUAUGAGACAGCUACUGGCAUCAAGAUCAUAAUGAACACAGACCUGGGAGUUCCCAACGCUAAAGAUAUACUGCACCAGAUAUACAGCACGCUGUAUGUAGAGUACAUAGUGAAGAAUCCUUUGUGUGUUCUGGGGGAGCAGCUGUCCUCUGACCUCUUCUCUACUAGACUGGACCUCUACAUCCGAGCCCUGCCCUUCUUCAGCCCCCGCGCUGCAUAACACACACACACACAGUGAGGAGACAAACAUGUACGCAUCGCACACACACACACACACACACACACACACACACACACACACACACACACACACACACACACACACACACACACACACACACAGAGGAGACAAACAUGCACGCAUCGCACACACACACUGCACGCAAACCAAACGCGCACACAUUUGGGGGUGUGGUUGUCUGGGGUUGUGAGGGGUGUAAUCAUGUAUUUAUUUGUUAGUAACAGAAUGUUGGUUGUUGCCUCGUGUAUUAAAUAGAACCAUCUCAGUAAACCUGAACAA